AGGCCUGGCCCAAUCUGACAGCAACUGGGCAGGCAGAGCGAGCCCCCACUUUAUGGGUGAGAAAACCGAGGCACGGAGAGGUGAAUGCGCGUGGUAUCAAUGCCGCUAAGGCAGAAGUGAGGCGGAAAAGCCCGUCCUCGCGAGGGGCGGCCCUGUCUCCAGCUCCCAGGAAGAGUCUCUCCCUUUUGCAAACGCCAGCCACAGAGGUUUAUUUUUCUCCCUGAGAGAAGGAAGAGUGAAGGCUGAGACUGAGACAGAAGGACAGAAGGAGAAGACUUAGAAGCCAGUGAGCCCGGAACCACGAGACGCGCUCUGAGGACACGGGGCCUCGGGGAAACCGGGCACGGGCAGGGGUUGGUCUUGGCUUCCCCGCAACAUUGCCGCGAGCUCGGGUGCCGUCUCCACUCGCAGGCUGGCCUGUCCUCUGCAGCCACGAGCUCAGGCACCGUCUCCGUUCAUAGGCCAGCCUGUUCUCUGCAGCCUGAGGUCCCUGUGGUGCCAACAUCCAGAUGCUGAGAUAAUUCUGCCAGGGUGUUGGCUGAUCGGUGAUUGGUGGUUGGCUGUUCCGUGAGUUCUGCAUUGAUCUUGCUGGCUGAGCGUCCAAUGCGGAGGGGCAGGUGCUGUUAGGGUCUCCACUCCCAUCCCUCUCCCCAGGACUCAUCACCCACUGCAACCGUAAGCUGCUAGGGGCUCACAGCCGUGAGUCUUUGGGACGGGUGGUCCCACCUGGCAUGUAGCUCAGGCUCCUAGCCCCAGGACCCUGCCGCUGCUCCCCUCCCGCCCACAUCUUGGCUUAGCCGUCUUCCCUGGCUGCCAGCCCCUUCCCCUGGUCUUAGUUGGCUUGAGCCACUAAACUGAAAUAGCACACCCUGAGGCCUUCAACAGCAGACCUGAUUUCUCACCAUCUGGAGGCUGGAGGUCCAGGAUCCAGGCCCCCAAGGCUGCUUUCUCCCCCACUCCCCCACCCACCUUCCAGGACACGCAGACUCCACCCUCUUGCUGCCCUGUCUCAGGGCUGUCCCUCUGGGCAAGCAGGCCCCUGGCAUCCCCGUGUGUCUUCUCCUCCUGUUCUUAUAAGGACACCAGUCAUACUGGAUCUGGGCCCACCCUAGUGACCUCAUUUACCUUAAUCACCUCUGAAAGACCUUGUCUCAAAAACAGCCACAUUCUGGGGCACUGAGGGUUAGGGCUUUAACAUGGGAAUUUGAGGGAUGCAAUUCACCCCAUAAAACCCAGACCAUUCCCCCAGUAAAUCACUUUCACAAGAGCUCUUCUCUCAGGCUUUGCUUCUGGGGGAUCCCCCUUGAGAUGGAUCCAUCUAGCUUCCUGCUUCUCAAAGAACAGAGGGGAGAGCUCUGGUGCGAAGGGAACGGGUGGCCUCGGGGACCUGCGGAUAAGCUGCUGGCACUGCCAGGGGACAGGCUGAGCUGAAAGCCAGGAGGAGGGCGGCGAGGCCCGGGGCCGGACCUCAUUCUUCUGAGUGUUAUAAAAUCUGGCUUUGCUCAGAAACUGCCCCAUGUGUGCUUUUGUUAAUUGAAGUGCAAAAUUUUCUCCAAGUAAUAACUGGAGUCGUUUAACAAUACAAAUAAUUUGCACCUUA
RNAcentral lists this long non-coding RNA (1600 nucleotides) under Homo sapiens (human). RNAcentral's name for it is "HSALNT0404453". Lineage: Eukaryota; Metazoa; Chordata; Mammalia; Primates; Hominidae. The record is from RNAcentral.